CUAAUUAGCUCCCAAAGGCCCCAUCUCCAAAUAGCAUCACACGAGGGGGUUAGGUCUUCAAUAUGUGAAUUUAGGGGAGACAGAAGAAAAUCUUCAAAAAAGACAAGUGCUCCAUUUUCUUGCAAGAUAAGAGUAUGUUUCCCAGAGGGGAAAAAAAGGAGAGAGGGAUCUCCAGACGGAGGUAAAUGUCCAAGAGAAAGCUCAGAGGCAUGAUUCCACUGUGGCACCUUGGAGAAUUACCUUUAGAUGAGAUCUAGACUGGGUGGGAGGUGGGGAAAGGGAGGUUUGACAAUGUGGCAGUGAUGAGAAAUGAACUUGGAGAGGUCUGCACAGGCUGGAUCAGGAAUGGAAGCUGUGGUUCACCAUCAGUUGCUACUUCUUUUCUGCUAACAGAACCCUGAUUCAGGUAGCAUACACAGAGCUCUUCAUCUCAGGGCAGGCAGUCCCUUUCUCAGCCUAGAGGGCAAAUCAUGACUGGUCUAAACUCAUUGGGUAAUAGUUCCUUUCUCCAAAGACUGGUCAAGGAAAAGACAUGCAAUCCAGUCUAGCCAAUAAAAUAUAAAGAGAAGUCUUUUGCCCCUCUUCUUCUUUCUGCUUUGAACAUUGAUGUGAUGUCUGGAGCUGCAGCAGGCAUCAUGUGACCAUGAGGGGUCAUGCAUGAGUGUUAAAAGCCAAACUGCUAAGGAUGGCAGUGCAAAAAGAUAGAAAGACACUGGAUCCUUGAUGACAAUACUGAGCCUUUGAACAAAUAUCAGUCAUCAUCUGUUUGUAGACUUGAUCUGGAGAAAAGUAAGCCUCUAUUUGUUUGCUAAGGACUUAUUUCUCAUGUAUUUGUUAAAAUUUAUGUUGCUGUGGACAAAAAAAAAAAAAAUGUACUAAGUGAUGCACAUGUCACACUAAAGUUUUCAGAUUUUAUCCUGAGGACAAAAAUGUUUUGAAUGGGAUUAGUGGGCGAGGAUCAAUGUUGUGUUAGAGAAUUUCGCAGGACACCAGUCCCUGGAAACUUUAUGACAGAUAGGAUAAAUGAGUGAGAUGAAAGAGGAGUCCAACUGGUAGGGUGUUAAAAUAGUGAUGAAGUGUGAUGAAAGCCCGAAAGAGACGAUGAGAGGAAUGGUAAGAAAAGUGAAGUCAGAAGUUAGAUGUUAAAGAGACAGAACCAAUAGAACUGGAUCACCAAUCAGAUGGGAGGGAUGAGGGGAAGGGAAGAGCAGGCAGCACUUAGACCUCUAGUGUGAAUGGAUGGAGGGUCCUGGUGAUAGUCCCCGAGGGGCAUAGGACAAAGGGCAGAUCAGGGGGAGGAGGAGAAAGUAAUUCAUGUCUUUUCAGGUACAUUGACUUUAGAGAGUAACCAGAAUUAAUGAAGCUCCACUGUAUCUAAAAUUUGCCUCAAUCAUGGAAUAAUCAGCCUUUGUUGAUAUGUCUGAAUCCACAAGCAAACCAUGAGAUCCUUGAGGACAGAAAAGGAAAAUUAUAAUAAAAGCAAACAUUCUCGUGUUAUGUAACAUAGGCCAGGAGCUGUUAUAAGCCCUCUGUUAAGGUAAGAAAACUGAGGAAUAAAGGGAUAAGUAACGAUCCCCAAAUUAGAAUGUUUCUGCUGAGGUACUGGGUUCAAGCCCAGUCAGUUAAAUGCCAGAAUCUGUGAAUUUAACCACAAUACUCUACCACCUCGCAGAGACAGUUUCCAUUUUGCCAACUCCUACCAGAAGACACUUUGCUUUUUUUGUUUUGUUGUUUUUUUGACUUUUGGUCUUUUCAGGGCCACACCUGCAGCAUAUGGAGGCUCCCAGGCUAGGGUCGAAUCAGAGCUGUAGCCACUGGCCUACACCACAGCCACAGCAACACAGGACCCAAGCCCUGUCUGUGACCUACACCACGGCUCACGGCAAAGCCGGAUCCUUAACCCACUGGGCGAGGCCAGGGAUUGAACCCACCACUUCAUGGUUCCUAGUCAGAUUUGUUUCUGCUGCACCAUGACGGGAACUCCCAGAGACACUUUCUUAAUUUAAAAAAUAUUAAUAAAAAUAUAUUUGUUAAGAGAUAUUCACAGAAACCUAUACCAAAUAUGGGGUAGGCCGUCUUGUGGCCCCCACAAAGAUGUCCAUGCUUGAAUCCCCAGAAAUUGAAUCCCUGGAAUAGAUUACCAUACAUGGCAAGAAGGAAUUAAAAUUGCUAAUCAGCUGUCUUGAAAGUAAAGAGAUGGUCCUAGAUUAUGUUCCACGGGUCCUUCGAUGUGGAGUCAAAGUCUCGGUGCUGUAACAGGAGAAAGACUUGCUGGCCAUCAUGGGCUUGAAAAGGAAAAGAGAGGCCAAGGAACAAAGACUGUGAGAAAUCACUAGAAGCUGGAAAGGAUUUUUCCCUAGAGUAUCCAAAAGAAACAAGCCUUGUCAGUGCCUUGAUUGUAGCGCAGUAACACCCGUUUUUGCUUUGUUUGUUUGUUUUUAUGGCCACACCCACAGCAUAUGGAAUUUCCCAGGCCAGGUUUCAAAUUGGAGCUGUAGCUGCAGGCCUACACCGGAGUCACAGCAACACUGGAUCCAAGUUGCACCUGUGACUUACACAGCAGCUUGUGGCAAUGCCUGGUCCAUAACCCACUGCAUGAGACCAAGGAUUGAACCCACGCCCUCACAGAAAUAAUGUCUGGUUCUUUACCCACUGAGCCACCAUAGAUAAAGAACUCAACUCCCAAUGAGACCCGUUUUGAACUUCAAACCUCUGUAGCUACAAGAUAAUAAAUCUAUGUUGUUUUAAGCCACGGAACUUGUAGUUUUGGUCACAGCAGCCAUAGGAAGUUAAUUUAAAUGUUGGUGUCUGGAAGUGGAGUGCCACCGAAGCAGAAAAAAAAAAUUUUUUUUAAUGUGAGUGUACUUUUAGAAUUGGGAAGGCAGAGGAUGAAAAAUUUGAUGAGUAUGACAGAAAAAGCCUAAACUGCCUUGAAAAUAGUCAGCAGAAAUGCUGAAGUUAAUGACUGUGUUAGUGGGGGCUCAGACGGAAGAGAGGGUCACAACAGAGAAAACAAAAUCUUAUUGGAGAAUGUCAAAGUCAUCACGAACAGACAGAUGGUGGGCAGAAAUAUGAUGUUUAAGGCACUGUCGGGGGGGACAGAAGAAAAUGAGGAAUCAAUUAUUGGAAACCAAAGGAAAGAGGGUGCUUUGGGGUUUUUUUGGUGUUUUAUUUUGUUUCGGUUUGCUUUUCAGGGUGGCAUGUGGAGGUUCCCAGGCUCGAGGUUGAAUCAGAGCUGCAACUGCCCGCCACAGCCACAGCCACAGCAACGCAGGAUCCUAGCCACGUCUGCAACCUACACCACAGCUCAGGCAGUGCUGGAUCCUUAACCCACUGAGAGAGGCCAGGGAUGGAACCCGCAUCCUCAUGGUUCCUAGGAGGACUUGUUUCUGCUGCGCCACGACGGGACCUCCCAAGAUGGUCCUUUUUCUACAGUGACAGAAAGGGUAGCUAAACUGUGUCCUGAAGUUAUAUAUAAAGAAAAACUUGCAAACAAAGGACUUGGGUAUUUAGUUGAGGAGAUUUCAACUGAAGUGUUGAGGUAAGGUCUGGUCUCUUCUUGUUUCUAUAGUACCAGGAAUGAUAAAGGAAAGAGAUAGGUUGAAGAGCAGUUAAGCACAAAGGAACCAGAACUUGGAGUUCCCAUCAUGGCUCAUCAGAAGCGAAUCCGACUAGUAUCCAUGAGGACACAGGUUCGAUCCCUGGCCCCACUCAGUGGGUUAAGGAUCCGGCAUUAUCAUGAGUUGUGGUAUAGGCCACAGAUGCAGCUUGGAUCUGGCAUCACUGCAGCUGUGGCAUAGGCCAGUGGCUACAGCUCCGAUUUCACCCCUAGCCUGGUAACCUUCAUAUGCUGUGNAAAAAAAAAAAAAAAAAAAAAAAAAAAAAAAAAAGGGAACCAGAACUUGGGGAAAUUUUAGCUAAUUCAGAUUGCAAAAGACCUAUUGGAUAAAUCUUUUUUUUUGUCUUUUUAGGGCUGCACUCACAGCAUAUGGACAUUUCCAGGCUAGGGGUCGAAUUAGAGCUGCAGCUGCUGGCCACAGCCACAGCCACAGCAACUCGGGAUCCAAGUGGCGUCUUCAACCUACACCACAGCUCAUGGCAAUGGCUGGAUCCUUAACCCACUCAGCGAGGCCAGGGAUCAAAUCCUCAUCCUCAUGGAUACUAAUCAGGUUUGUUACCACUGAGCCACAGAGAGAACUCUGAAUAAAGCAUUUUUUUAAAGUCCUAAAAAGUGGAGGAAUACAUUAUGUUCAUGGAUUGAAAAAUGUAAUGAUUAAUUCUCUACAAGUUAAUCGUUGUGAUUUUCAUCAAUAUUCCGGGAGGAUUGCUAUAAAAAUUGACAAGCUGCUUUAAACAUUUUAAAUGGAAACAUAGGGUCACGAAACGUCAAGGCAGUCUUGAAGGAGAACAAAGCUGGAGGAUUUAUGGUGUCAGAUAUGAAGAUAUAUGAAGAGGCGACAGUAAUUAGACAGCAUAGUAUUGACAUUAGAUAGACAAAUAGGCCAAUGGAAUGGGAUAGAGGGCCCAGGAAUGCAGCGCACAUAAUAGGCACUUAAAAUGGGAAUGGCAAGGCAGAGGAAAAGAUGGCCUUUGAAUAAAUGGUAUUUGGGUCUGUUAGACAGCGUCAUGAAUCUGGACCCUUCUAUCACAAAAUACCUGCAAAUCGAUUCCAGAGAGACUGCAGAUCUACAUAUGAACAGGAGAACAAUAAAGCUUUUAAAAGAAAACACAGGAGAAUAUUUUCAUCAACUCAGGACUGACAAAGGUUUAUUAAGCGGGACACACGAGAAUCACAAAGGUUGAUACAUCGGACUGUAUGUACCUUAAAAAUGUUUGUUCGUCCAAAGACAACCAUUAAAAAAGUGAAAAGACAAGACACAGAGCAGAAAAGCUAACCAACCUAAGGGUCGUUUCGGAAUAUGUCUUAUGAAUAAAUAAGAAAAAAGACUGGCCACCUAAGCUUUUUAAUGGGUAAAUGACUGGAGCAAGCACUUUAGAAAAGGCCAGUAAACACAUGAAAAGACACUCAGCUUCUCAAAUCAUUAAGGAGAUAGAAACUGAAUGACUGUAAAAGACUGAAAAUAGGGAGUUCCCAUUGUGGCGCAGUGGUUAACGAAUCUGACUAGGAACCGUGAGGUUGCAGGUUCCAUCCCUGGCCUCGCUCAAUGGGUUAAGGAUCCGGUGUUGCCGUGAGCUGUGGUGUAGGUCGCAGAUCCCUAGCCUGGGAACCUCCAUAUGCUGCGGGAGUGGCCCUAGAAAAGGUAAAAAGCCAAAAAAAAUAAAUAAAUAAAAAGACCGAAAAUAUACCAAAUGCUGAAAAUCUGUAUAUCCACACACUAACCAAGACCUCGUGAAGGGUGGAGUGGCUUUCCCCCCUCCCUGGUUUCGACCAUGCGACUUGUAUUAUCCACUGGGAUGCUAGUGGACAUUCCUGUGAGCAGAAACUUGAAAAUGUGCUUUUGCAGUUAGGCAUAUCAUUUUGGUUCCAGCCUUGAGAAGAAGCUUGGUUGAACCUUAAGAUGAAUGUGCCUUGAGGGACCUCUGAUCCAAGAAGGAUGGGACAUACAAGGAGCAGAUCUGAACCCGGUGUUCAGCUUGGAACCAAGUCCAGCUGAGUCCACCUUAGAGUAGCAGCACCUCAGCCACUGUUGAAAUAACAGAUGAUUGAUAUACAUAUUCUCUACCUAGUAAAGCUCAACAUAUGUCUCCUCCAUGACUCAGCAACCCCACUGCCGCAUGCAUUUCCUAAAUAGAUACCUCAUGGAGAUACAGGCAUAUAUGCACCAAAUGAAUAGGAGUUGCUCAUUGGAACAUCUUUCAUAAUAGCCAAACACUAGAAAUAACUCCAAUAUCCCUCCAUUCAGAAUGAUAGGUAAAUGGUAACAUGCAUACACAAUGAACACUGCGUAGCAAAGAAGAUGAACAAACUACCACAUAUUUACCAACACAGAGAAAUCUGAACAAACAUUAUCUUAAACAACAACCAAAAAAAUCGGUCUCAAAUAAUUCAUAUGGUAUCAUUCUCUUUAUACAAAAUUUAAACUAAUUUGUGGAGUUAGAAGUCAAAAUAGGGGUUCUUUGGGAAGUAGGACGCUCAAGAGUACAGAGGGGUGUCAGGCAGGGCCUAGCUCUUGAUCUUCAUAGUGGUUUAGGUGGGUUCAUUGUGGGAAAAUUCAAGAAAGUACACGCUUGCUAGACGUACAGUUUUAUAAACAUAUGUUAUAUUACAAUAAAAUAAAAAUUUUCUUAUGUACUCCUUUAUAGUUUGU
This 6269-nucleotide long non-coding RNA is filed under the name Sus scrofa (pig). RNAcentral's name for it is "lncRNA (ENSSSCG00060041527.1)". Lineage: Eukaryota; Metazoa; Chordata; Mammalia; Artiodactyla; Suidae. The record is from RNAcentral.